Molecule: ribosomal RNA, 865 nt
Filed under: Cyanobium sp. LEGE 06127
Lineage: Bacteria; Bacillati; Cyanobacteriota; Cyanophyceae; Synechococcales; Prochlorococcaceae
Description: bacterial SSU rRNA
Rfam family: Bacterial small subunit ribosomal RNA
Source: RNAcentral
GGGAUGAAGGCCUCUGGGCUGUAAACCUCUUUUCUCAAGGAAGAAGAACUGACGGUACUUGAGGAAUAAGCCACGGCUAAUUCCGUGCCAGCAGCCGCGGUAAUACGGGAGUGGCAAGCGUUAUCCGGAAUUAUUGGGCGUAAAGCGUCCGCAGGCGGUCUUGAAAGUCUGUUGUUAAAGCGUGGAGCUCAACUCCAUUUCAGCAAUGGAAACUAGAAGACUAGAGUGUGGUAGGGGCAGAGGGAAUUCCCGGUGUAGCGGUGAAAUGCGUAGAUAUCGGGAAGAACACCAGUGGCGAAGGCGCUCUGCUGGGCCAUAACUGACGCUCAUGGACGAAAGCCAGGGGAGCGAAAGGGAUUAGAUACCCCUGUAGUCCUGGCCGUAAACGAUGAACACUAGGUGUCGGGGGAAUCGACCCCCUCGGUGUCGUAGCCAACGCGUUAAGUGUUCCGCCUGGGGAGUACGCACGCAAGUGUGAAACUCAAAGGAAUUGACGGGGGCCCGCACAAGCGGUGGAGUAUGUGGUUUAAUUCGAUGCAACGCGAAGAACCUUACCAGGGUUUGACAUCCUGCGAAUCUUUUGGAAACAGAAGAGUGCCUUCGGGAGCGCAGAGACAGGUGGUGCAUGGCUGUCGUCAGCUCGUGUCGUGAGAUGUUGGGUUAAGUCCCGCAACGAGCGCAACCCACGUCUUUAGUUGCCAGCAUUGAGUUGGGCACUCUAGAGAGACCGCCGGUGAUAAACCGGAGGAAGGUGUGGAUGACGUCAAGUCAUCAUGCCCCUUACAUCCUGGGCUACACACGUACUACAAUGCUACGGACAGAGGGCAGCAAACUCGCGAGAGCUAGCAAAUCCCAUAAACCGUGG